Molecule: ribosomal RNA, 1439 nt
Filed under: uncultured bacterium
Lineage: Bacteria
Description: bacterial SSU rRNA
Rfam family: Bacterial small subunit ribosomal RNA
Source: RNAcentral
CAAGUCGUACGCGACCUUUUUCUUCGGAGAUUGGAAGAGUGACGAAUGGGAGAGUAACGCGUGGGUUAUUUACCUUUUAGUGGGGGACAACACAGAGAAAUUUGUGCUAAUACCGCAUGUGGCGAGCAAUCGCUAAAGAUGGCCUCUAUUUAUAAGCUAUCGCUAAGAGUUAAGCCUGCGUACUAUUAGUUAGUUGGUGCGGUAAUGGCGACACCAAGGCAAUGAUAGUUAGGCGGCCUUAACGGGUGACCGCCCUCACUGGGAUUGAGAUACGGCCCAGACUCCUACGGGAGGCAGCAGUCGAGAAUAGUCUACAAUGAACGAAAGUUUGAUAGUGCAAUGCCGCGUGGAUGAAGAAGCAUUUCGGUGUGUAAAAUCCUUUUUUAGAUGAGCAAAUGUUGGAAGGCGAACAACUUUCCAUAAAGAUAUUAGUCUAAGAAUAAGCCUCGGCUAACUCCGUGCCAGCAGCCGCGGUAAUACGGGGGAGGCAAGCGUUGUCCGGAAUCACUAGGCGUAAAGGGCAAGUAGGCGGAAUGGUAAGUUACAUGUUAAAUUUAUAGGCUCAACCUAUACUCAGCAUGUGAUACUGCUUUUCCUGAGUCAGACAGGGGAAAAGCGGAUUUCUGGUGUAGCGGUGGAAUGCGCAGAUAUCAGAAAGAACACUCAUGGCGAAGGCAAUUUUCUGGGUCAUGACUGACGCUCAAUUGCGAAGGUGUGGGUAUCAAACAGGAUUAGAGACCCUGGCAGUCCACACAGUAAACGAUAAUCACUAGGUGUCGGUAGAGAAGAUCUAUCGGUGCCGUAGCUAACGCGUUAAGUGAUUCGCCUGGGGAGUACGUUCGCAAGAAUGAAACUCAAAGGAAUUGACGGGAUCCCGCACAAGCGGUGGAGCAUGUGGUUUAAUUCGAUGCAACGCGAAGAACCUUACCUGGGUUUGACAUGUUAGAGAAUCUUAUAGAGAUAUGGGAGUGCCCUUCGGGGAGCUUUAAUACAGGUGCUGCAUGGCUGUCGUCAGCUCGUGUCGUGAGAUGUUGGGUUAAGUCCCGCAACGAGCGCAACCCCUACCAUUAGUUGCCAAUAUUUAUUUAGGGACUCUAAUGGGACUGCCGAUGUAAAAAAUCGGAGGAAGGUGGGGAUGAUGUCAAGUCGUCAUGGUCCUUAUGUCCAGGGCUACACACGUGCUACAAUGGUCGGUACAACGGGUCGCUAGGCAGCGAUGUCAUGCCAAUCCCUUAAAGCCGAUCUCAGUUCGGAUUAGAGUCUGCAACUCGACUCUAUGAAGUUGGAAUCGCUAGUAAUCGCGUGUCAGCAUAACGCGGUGAAUACGUUCCCGGGAUUUGUACACACCGCCCGUCAAGUCAACCGAGUAGAGUGCACCCGAAGAAGGUGAGCCAACCGAAAGGAAGCAGCUUUCGAAGGUGUGCUUUGUGAGGGGGACU